This 792-nucleotide ribosomal RNA is filed under the name uncultured bacterium. RNAcentral describes it as "bacterial SSU rRNA". It matches the Rfam family "Bacterial small subunit ribosomal RNA", at positions 8 to 796 of the family's 1533-position model. The record is from RNAcentral.
AGAGUUUGAUCAUGGCUCAGGAUGAACGCUAGCGGCAGGCCUAAUACAUGCAAGUCGAGGGGCAGCGGGGAUAGCAAUAUCUGCCGGCGACCGGCGCACGGGUGCGUAACACGUAUGUAACCUACCUAUAACUUGGGAAUAGCCCGGAGAAAUCCGGAUUAAUGUCCAAUGACACUGUGAGACGACAUCGUCUUAUUGUUAAAGAUUUAUCGGUUAUAGAAGGACAUGCGGCUGAUUAGCUAGUUGGUGAGGUAAUGGCUCACCAAGGCAACGAUCAGUAGGGGACCUGAGAGGGUGAUCCCCCACACUGGUACUGAGAUACGGACCAGACUCCUACGGGAGGCAGCAGUAGGGAAUAUUGGGCAAUGGAGGCAACUCUGACCCAGCCAUGCCGCGUGAAGGAAGAAGGCCUUCUGGGUUGUAAACUUCUUUUGAUCGGGAACAAAGAGUCCAUGCGUGGACAGUUGAGUGUACCGAUAGAAUAAGCACCGGCUAACUCCGUGCCAGCAGCCGCGGUAAUACGGAGGGUGCAAGCGUUGUCCGGAUUUAUUGGGUUUAAAGGGUGCGUAGGCGGUCUUUUAAGUCAGUGGUGAAAUCCUCCAGCUCAACUGGAGAACUGCCAUUGAUACUGGAAGACUUGAGUAUAGUUGAGGUAGGCGGAAUUGACAGUGUAGCGGUGAAAUGCAUAGAUAUUGUCAAGAACCCCGAUUGCGAAGGCAGCUUACUAAACUAUAACUGACGCUGAGGCACGAAAGUGCGGGGAUCAAACAGGAUUAGAUACCCUAGUAGUCC